AGCCUGUCGAAUGUUGUUCCGCUAGCCGUAGCCGUAGCCGCUAACCGUAGACUAUGUCGGCUGCUAGCACAGGUAUCAAGACACCGACUGAACUUAAAGUACAAUAUAGCCAUUUAUAGAGCAAAAUGUUUAAUUAACAGUGACGAAUUUGUUGAAGUACAUGGGGUCUCCUAGCUAAAAGAAAUAGUGCUCGGAAAAUUCUAUUUAAGAAAUGCAAUUUUUAUAUUGAGAUACUCAGACAAUGCAUACUAUAUUCUGCAUUUACUUGUUGUUGGAGAGAAAGAGUACUUUUAGACAGUGUGUACGAUGAUCGCCAAACUGAGUGGACACAACUUUCCAGAAGGAGGUUUUGCUUUCUUGUUCACUUAAAAAAACCAAGAGUUUUUUUGUUUUCAUAAUGAGUCAUUUCUAGUGAUUGCUGAAAUGGAUUGGCAUGAUAUGGAAGUUCGAAGAUUGCCAUUGUUUUAGUCUUCCAAAUCAUGUUUAACUUAACAACUGCAAUGAAGGAAUGAUAGUAAUUGUGGAUAUAUGUAGAAAAUAUUUACUUCUUUAAAAGGUGUAUGUAGAUGUAUUGUCAUACCCAUCCAGAAAAGCAAUUGUGGAUCUCGGUUUCUUACAAUUCUGAACUUGGACCCAUCCAAAGAAAGAGAUUGAAUUACAUUCUCCUGGUUUUUGAGCCAUGUAAUCUACUGGAUCAGCAGGAAGACAUGUAUGAAGAAUAUAGUUUAGAAUUAAUGAAAAGGAUUCGGUGGACAAUAUGCAACUGCCAGUCUGGGAACAUACGCCAUUUCAACAAUAAUUGAAGAAUUCCUGACUCUCACGUGGGGGCAAACGUUAAAUGACGUAAAUGCCGAUGACAAACCGUUAACCAUGCUCUCGAAUUUCUGGAUGGCUCGCCUUUCUGAAAGUGAUGUAACCAACGUCGUCGUAUUCGAUCAUGGAACAGUCUGAAACGUGAAUUGGACCACAACAAGCUGCAAGUACCAUUCUGAAGAAGCGUCUUAAGAGGAGCCAAUUUCCCUUGGAAAUGAAAAAGAUUGAAUGCGAGUGAAGUCUUUAAUGAUGUGGCUUGUCUUCCACAUAAUAGUACCGCACUGCCGUGCCGCAAGGCUGUGCUUCUCGCAGUUGCAGCGCAGAAACCACCACCGCCGUCUUGUGUGUCUUUCGCAGCGUUAGAUUUGACGCUAUAUCGACGAAAUGACAAUGCAUCAAGAAACAUUCAACAAUAUGAAUUACUAAGCCACCAGCGUCUUCUCCUUGGCUUCAAUCCUGGGAACCACUUACCUGUUUCAGCUCGUUUAGUCGACGUUGCAUCAUGUGAUCCAUCCCGGGCUUUGCAAAUUUUCGACUCAAGGAGCAGUUCUCUAUUGAAAGGUGUUUGGGCUCUGUAGGCUUCAACUGGGAUUUAAGCUAUCCACAAAGUUCUUUCGAUCGAGCCUGCUUGGUGCAUGAUUGAGAUAUCCGGGCCAUUGCUGGGCAAGACUUGCUUUAGACUCUUCAUGGUUUAAAGAGGAAUAUCAUGGAAUCUCUGCUGUAUUUCCUUUUUCAUCAGUUGAUUGGUUUCGUCGACAUCGUCGCCGGCUAGAGCGCUGUAGCUGUUCACAUUUUACAGGAACCCUGGAAAAAACCUUUGCGCAGAGUAACAUCCGGAAUCACCUAUUUUAAUUCUCCCAACACACCUAAAUGGCCUUAAGUAACGUUGAAACUUUAUUUUUUCUUCUUAAAUCCCCAUUUUUGUUUUUUUUGCAACUUGUUAUCCUAUUGUAAAUAAAAUUCUUCCCCGUCACUAUAAUCCCUUAAACUGUUUAUUGAUGAUGUGGUUCUCUGAAAACCUUUUGAAAAUGCAAUUCGCUAAAACGCUAGAGAAAGAGUCACGUGGAUGAAAUACGAAUAAAGAUUCAAUGUUCAAAAUUCAUUCGAGUCGACUGUGUAUUUUAGAAACCGUGUUGUGUAUACCACUUGAAGACAAAAUAAACAGAGAUGAAGAGAA
Long non-coding RNA from Daphnia carinata, 1990 nucleotides. RefSeq lists it as uncharacterized. The transcript has 6 exons. Lineage: Eukaryota; Metazoa; Arthropoda; Branchiopoda; Diplostraca; Daphniidae. The record is from RefSeq and is a predicted model, not a curated record.